CCAUAACAAAAAGACUAAGAUGUUUAAGCGAGGACACAUUCACACUGGCAUCACAUAAUCAUUCAGUGUGUAGGUACAAGAGUGCAUUUGUGUUCAUUUGCAUGUAAUUCCGCUGUCAAUUGCUGUUUUCCGUAUCGAUAGCAGGUUUAAAUACUUUGUGCGGGAUUUGUGUCAGUGCCAUGUGUGCAAAAGACCGGCCGCCGGGUUGCCAUGAGAACAGCAUGGGGCAUCUGGGAGAAUGACGCCAUUGAUUAGCGACUGAGGAUUAGAGAGUGCAAAGCAAUUAUGCACCAUAAUGGCUUUAAGUGCCUGUGUGUGAUUUACAGUUGGUAUGUGUAUAUCGAACAAAUCAGCAGGGGCCCGGCACGACUUCUUCCUGUGCAUGUGCAUGUGUCCAUGACUAGCAAUUUUCUGAAGUGUUAUCUUAAGAGUGUGCCAGCUCUAUGUUUGUCUCCUCUGACCAAUGGUAAACUCGCACUCUCUCACCUUGUCUGUUUUAUUCUUCGGUUCUCUUUGAACUUUUUCUUCUCAAAUCCAUAGCUGGACUGCUCUGUAUGCAGGAGAAUAUCAGCAACCUCCUCUGUUUGAGGAGACCAGUGUCUGGAACAGCACAAUAUCUUACCUACAUCUGUGGUGCGGCCUCUGUUGUGUCAUCAAAAGGAGACGGCUGGGUCAUUGUAUCUCCCACAUUCAAUUGUUUUCAGGUCACUUUUCCAGACGCCAGUCUUUGCAAACAUAACCUCCUUUCUCUCUGUUGCUGCUGCAUUGGAAAUAUUGAUCUCUCUCUCUCUAUCUCUCUGUUUUUACAACGACAAAAAUACAUCAUAGGAUUUGAAGCUGAAACGGCAAAAUAUGCAGACUCAUCAUGCAUUCAGUACGAUACUGUAUAUUGUAGGAGUGAGAGUCUGGGUCGCUGCAGAAGGAUAUAGCAAGUGAUUGCUUGAGUCUCUUUUAGUCCUUGAACCAUCUUCUUCUGCAACUUGCAGGCAAACAUGCUCUCCCCAGACUAAGCAAUAUACUGUGUGGAUGCUAAUAUUGUUAUAUUUAUCUUUAUCAUUACCGUUCUCUGUGUGAACGGGCCUUUAGACAGGAAGAAAGGAAUAAUCUGUGCAUGUGAGUGUAUUCAGGAGUAUCUCAGUGUGACCCUGGAAUCAGUCCUGGCCAAGAAAAUCACAGCAGCGUCACUGAUGAGUAGUGAUUCAAUUACAGCAGUGCAAGGUGUCCUUCUUUCUACCUGCCUUCCGGGUGAUCUCUCCCUCUCUCUAUCGCUCCUUCUAACUCUCUUUUUAACUCUCUUUUUCUGGGACAAUAGGGGACUGAAAGGUGGAGGCCAGCAGCUCUAAAACUACUUCUGGUACUGUGGGGCUGAUUGUUAAGGGUGGCUUUGUCUUCCAAAAGUAGGGAAUGUUCUUUCCCUCUGACCACAGUGUGGACGUGAACUCCAGAAAGGACAUGCCAUGGAGACAUUCUGGAACUGUUGCCUUGGAAACAGUAAUCAUGGCUUGAGCAAGGGGUGAAAUGGAAGAGUUUUUUGAGGGUGGAAGAGUGUAAUCCCCUCCACCUCGUUAUUAGAGCUGCAAUUGAGUCAAAGAUUAGGCAGAGAUGGAGACCCCAUUCCACAUCCGCCUCAGCUGUUCCCGAAGGAAGACAAACACGCCCGACGCCAAUAAAACCGCAGCGCAAUGCUCCCCCAACAUCGCCGAACGUAUGAACUUCGCGGGGAGCCGCAGAACCCUCACCAGCUCCCCACAGUUCCGGCUGCAGAUCCAGCGUGUAAUAGAAGAUGAUAAAUUAUGGAUCCCUUAUCUGGCUCCAAGGAUAAACCAAUCUGAUUCACGGGCCAAUUAACAAGCAUUCUUGCACCUCGACGGAGCGUGCUCAGUGUCUCAUGAAUGAGUGGCAUGCGCCGAGAACGGCACGAGAAGAAGCGCAGAUUUUAUGUGAUUCUCAUAACACAUUCUCUAUCAAACAACAUGCGUUUCCUUGAACAUAUUUAUAUUUUAUGAUUCUACGAUAUAUAAUAUAUCGCCCAAUUGAUGUUCAACAUGUUUCAUGACUUGUUUUUUUUAUUCUCACCAUCUGUAUUCUGACUGAAUGGUUUAAAAAUGGUUUCUUUCUUAGCUCCCCCCCCCCCAACUGCUCUUCUUCAUCUUACACCUGACUCAUCCUCACCUCUAACCUCACACUACAGAGAGGCUUUGGAUGAAGCGUAAUGAUGGUCAGACAGAGCAGCUCUGAGACGCGGGAGGGGUUGUGUUCUGAGGGCACUCUUUUGGUGCGUGGCGCUCUGAAGCGGGCUGCGUUUGAUCUCCUCGAAAUGCCACAGGUUAUUGUGUUUCUGCUUAAAGUGGUCUUACAGGAGACGUGGAAUUCUGUCAGCUCUGGGGCUGGUUUGAGAAACGGUAGGGGGAUUUUAAAGAAGGUGCUGUUGUGCUGUUCAUGUGAGCACUAAGUCUGUAAACAUUUAUUUUUAAACUGUAUCGUACGUAUUUCAUAGUUCUUGUGUGAUAAAACAGAGAGGAAAUGUUAUUAUUUAGAGCAAAAUGUGUUUUUUUUCCACUUUCAUUUCACACUCAUGUACACCUAGCCUACAGUACAUUAGGUUGGUGUAAAGAGAGAGAGGAAAAAACAAUAAAAAAAACUAAGACGAAUAUUUCACUUAAAGAAAAACCGUUAAAACACCUCAUAAGAACUUCUUUUGGUGCUAAACUUUGUAAUAUUAGAAUACGGUUUAAAUCACACACACACACAAGAGUGUAUAUUCACUAAUGAUCUACCCUCACAUUCUAUCAACUUCCAGAGACUUGGUUUACUCUAGACUGAAACACAAGGACAUUUGCACAAAAAAUGAAUUGUGUCCACAGAUAGUGUCAUUUACUUGCACUUGCUGUCUGCAGUGUUUUCUAUGGAAGCUUGUUUCCAUCUCAGAGUAUAAAAAGCUGUAUUGCUUUGCUGUAUAUCGACAAAUAUUUCACAAGUGCGGAUAUAUCUCUCAUAUAUUUCACUGUAUCUCACAAUUUGGAUUUUACUAUGUGUGUGUAUAUAUACUGCAUACUCAUUACCUGUCAAAAAGUUGGAAUGAUUAAGAUUUCUGUAUUGUUUUUGAAAGAAGUCUACAUUCAUUUGAUCAAAGUACAGUAAAAACAGUAAUAUUGUGAAAUAUUACAGUUUUAAGCAGUGGAACUGUUUUUAACCAUGAUAACAGAAAUGUUAGUUGAGCACCAUUUCAGCAUAGGCUGAUUUCUGAAGGAUCGCGUGACACUGAAGACUGGAGUAAUGGCUGCUGUGAAUUCAGUUUUACUAUCACAGGAAUAAAUUACAUUUUAAAAUAUAUUCAAAACAUAUUUUAAAUAAUAUUUCACAAUAUUACAGUUCUACAGUAUUUUGACCAAAUAAAUCUUUAAGCUUGGUGAGAAUAUAAGAAACAUUUUCAGGCGUCUUUUUAAUAGUUCAAUAUGUAUUUCAUAUUUAUUUAUGUAGGCUAUACCAGAUGUCUACAUACGGAUUGUGCCAUAAAACUGGAGAAAAAAAAUGUAAA
This is a long non-coding RNA of Onychostoma macrolepis, 3538 nucleotides long. RefSeq lists it as uncharacterized. Lineage: Eukaryota; Metazoa; Chordata; Actinopteri; Cypriniformes; Cyprinidae. The transcript is spliced from 3 exons. The record is from RefSeq and is a predicted model, not a curated record.